GGGACGGUAGCUCAGUUGGUAGAGCACACCAUUGGUAAGGGUGGGGUCGGGAGUUCGAAUCUCCCCCGUCCCA
This 73-nucleotide transfer RNA is filed under the name seawater metagenome. RNAcentral describes it as "tRNA-Thr". It matches the Rfam family "tRNA". Rfam says of the family: Transfer RNA (tRNA) molecules are approximately 80 nucleotides in length. Their secondary structure includes four short double-helical elements and three loops (D, anti-codon, and T loops). The record is from RNAcentral.